This 328-nucleotide unclassified non-coding RNA is filed under the name soil metagenome. RNAcentral's name for it is "partial contains 5.8S ribosomal RNA, internal transcribed spacer 2, and large subunit ribosomal RNA". The stretch from base 1 to 120 matches the Rfam family "5.8S ribosomal RNA", at positions 35 to 154 of the family's 154-position model. The record is from RNAcentral.
GAUGAAGAACGUAGCGAAAUGCGAUAAGUAAUGUGAAUUGCAGAAUUCAGUGAAUCAUCGAAUCUUUGAACGCACAUUGCGCCCCCUGGUAUUCCGGGGGGCAUGCCUGUCCGAGCGUCAUUACAACCCUCAAGCUCAGCUUGGUGUUGGGCCCCGCCGCCCCGGCGGGCCCUAAAGUCAGUGGCGGUGCCGUCCGGCUCCGAGCGUAGUAAUUCUUCUCGCUCUGGAGGUCCGGUCGUGUGCUUGCCAGCAACCCCCAAUUUUUUUCAGGUUGACCUCGGAUCAGGUAGGGAUACCCGCUGAACUUAAGCAUAUCAAUAAGCGGAGA